UUAAGCGACUAAGCGUACACGGUGGAUGCCCUGGCAGUCAGAGGCGAUGAAGGACGUGCUAAUCUGCGAUAAGCGUCGGUAAGGUGAUAUGAACCGUUAUAACCGGCGAUUUCCGAAUGGGGAACCAGUGUGAUUCGUCACACUAUCAUUAACUGAAUCCAUAGGUUAAUGAGGCGAACCGGGGAACUGAAACAUCUAAGUACCCCGAGGAAAAGAAAUCAACCGAGAUUCCCCCAGUAGCGGCGAGCGAACGGGGAGCAGCCCAGAGCCUGAAUCAGUGUGUGUGUUAGUGGAAGCGUCUGGAAAGGCGCGCGAUACAGGGUGACAGCCCCGUACACAAAAAUGCACAUGCUGUGAGCUCGAUGAGUAGGGCGGGACACGUGGUAUCCUGUCUGAAUAUGGGGGGACCAUCCUCCAAGGCUAAAUACUCCUGACUGACCGAUAGUGAACCAGUACCGUGAGGGAAAGGCGAAAAGAACCCCGGCGAGGGGAGUGAAAAAGAACCUGAAACCGUGUACGUACAAGCAGUGGGAGCACGCUUAGGCGUGUGACUGCGUACCUUUUGUAUAAUGGGUCAGCGACUUAUAUUCUGUAGCAAGGUUAACCGAAUAGGGGAGCCGAAGGGAAACCGAGUCUUAACUGGGCGUUAAGUUGCAGGGUAUAGACCCGAAACCCGGUGAUCUAGCCAUGGGCAGGUUGAAGGUUGGGUAACACUAACUGGAGGACCGAACCGACUAAUGUUGAAAAAUUAGCGGAUGACUUGUGGCUGGGGGUGAAAGGCCAAUCAAACCGGGAGAUAGCUGGUUCUCCCCGAAAGCUAUUUAGGUAGCGCCUCGUGAAUUCAUCUCCGGGGGUAGAGCACUGUUUCGGCAAGGGGGUCAUCCCGACUUACCAACCCGAUGCAAACUGCGAAUACCGGAGUAUGUUAUCACGGGAGACACACGGCGGGUGCUAACGUCCGUCGUGAAGAGGGAAACAACCCAGACCGCCAGCUAAGGUCCCAAAGUCAUGGUUAAGUGGGAAACGAUGUGGGAAGGCCCAGACAGCCAGGAUGUUGGCUUAGAAGCAGCCAUCAUUUAAAGAAAGCGUAAUAGCUCACUGGUCGAGUCGGCCUGCGCGGAAGAUGUAACGGGGCUAAACCAUGCACCGAAGCUGCGGCAGCGACGCUUAUGCGUUGUUGGGUAGGGGAGCGUUCUGUAAGCCUGUGAAGGUGUACUGUGAGGUAUGCUGGAGGUAUCAGAAGUGCGAAUGCUGACAUAAGUAACGAUAAAGCGGGUGAAAAGCCCGCUCGCCGGAAGACCAAGGGUUCCUGUCCAACGUUAAUCGGGGCAGGGUGAGUCGACCCCUAAGGCGAGGCCGAAAGGCGUAGUCGAUGGGAAACAGGUUAAUAUUCCUGUACUUGGUGUUACUGCGAAGGGGGGACGGAGAAGGCUAUGUUGGCCGGGCGACGGUUGUCCCGGUUUAAGCGUGUAGGCUGGUUUUCCAGGCAAAUCCGGAAAAUCAAGGCUGAGGCGUGAUGACGAGGCACUACGGUGCUGAAGCAACAAAUGCCCUGCUUCCAGGAAAAGCCUCUAAGCAUCAGGUAACAUCAAAUCGUACCCCAAACCGACACAGGUGGUCAGGUAGAGAAUACCAAGGCGCUUGAGAGAACUCGGGUGAAGGAACUAGGCAAAAUGGUGCCGUAACUUCGGGAGAAGGCACGCUGAUAUGUAGGUGAAGCGACUUGCUCGUGGAGCUGAAAUCAGUCGAAGAUACCAGCUGGCUGCAACUGUUUAUUAAAAACACAGCACUGUGCAAACACGAAAGUGGACGUAUACGGUGUGACGCCUGCCCGGUGCCGGUAGGUUAAUUGAUGGGGUCAGCGCAAGCGAAGCUCUUGAUCGAAGCCCCGGUAAACGGGGGCCGUAACUAUAACGGUCCUAAGGUAGCGAAAUUCCUUGUCGGGUAAGUUCCGACCUGCACGAAUGGCGUAAUGAUGGCCAGGCUGUCUCCACCCGAGACUCAGUGAAAUUGAACUCGCUGUGAAGAUGCAGUGUACCCGCGGCAAGACGGAAAGACCCCGUGAACCUUUACUAUAGCUUGACACUGAACAUUGAGCCUUGAUGUGUAGGAUAGGUGGGAGGCUUUGAAGUGUGGACGCCAGUCUGCAUGGAGCCGACCUUGAAAUACCACCCUUUAAUGUUUGGUGUUCUAACGUUGACCCGUAAUCCGGGUUGCGGACAGUGUCUGGUGGGUAGUUU
The sequence is a ribosomal RNA, 2240 nucleotides long. It matches the Rfam family "Bacterial large subunit ribosomal RNA", at positions 1 to 2271 of the family's 2925-position model.